Molecule: non-coding RNA, 74 nt
Filed under: Paramoeba aestuarina
Lineage: Eukaryota; Discosea; Flabellinia; Dactylopodida; Paramoebidae
Source: RNAcentral
UCUCGUUCUUUCCCUAGAGAAUUCUCACCAUUUAAGUCAGAAGAAGAGGAAGAGGAAGAUUUGGAUGUGUUGUU